AGAUCCGGGUUUCAGAGGCCAAGCGCCAGGUAAAGGAGUGAUCAUAAAACCACCAGUUUCAGUCUGCCACCAAGUGUCUGAUAUUGGGCAUCUUGCAUCACCAAUAAUAUCAUAGAACCAUCUCCAAGCAGUGGGAUUGAUUGGCUCGCCUACGCUUCCUAGAACUCGAAGAGAUUUACGAGAAUACCGAGUAACAUACUCG
This 202-nucleotide unclassified non-coding RNA is filed under the name Hevea brasiliensis (rubber tree). The record is from RNAcentral. Lineage: Eukaryota; Viridiplantae; Streptophyta; Magnoliopsida; Malpighiales; Euphorbiaceae.